Molecule: transfer RNA, 63 nt
Filed under: Gemmatimonadaceae bacterium
Lineage: Bacteria; Pseudomonadati; Gemmatimonadota; Gemmatimonadia; Gemmatimonadales; Gemmatimonadaceae
Description: tRNA-Asp
Rfam family: tRNA
About the family: Transfer RNA (tRNA) molecules are approximately 80 nucleotides in length. Their secondary structure includes four short double-helical elements and three loops (D, anti-codon, and T loops).
Source: RNAcentral
AGCUCAACUGGUUAGAGCACUCGACUGUCACUCGAGAGGUUGCGGGUUCGAGCCCCGUCGCUU